AUUGAACGCUGGCGGCAGGCCUAACACAUGCAAGUCGAAUGGUAACAGGAAACAGCUUGCUGUUUCGCUGACGAGUGGCGGACGGGUGAGUAAUGUCUGGGAAACUGCCUGAUGGAGGGGGAUAACUACUGGAAACGGUAGCUAAUACCGCAUAACGUCGCAAGACCAAAGAGGGGGACCUUCGGGCCUCUUGCCAUCAGAUGUGCCCAGAUGGGAUUAGCUAGUAGGUGGGGUAACGGCUCACCUAGGCGACGAUCCCUAGCUGGUCUGAGAGGAUGACAGCCCACCGGGGAGAGGAACCACGUCCCGGGCUCCUGGGGGAGGGAGCAGUGGGAAAUUUUGCACAGUGGGGGGAAGCCUUAUGCAGCCGGGCGGCGUGUAUGAAGAAGACUUUGGGGUUGUAAAGUACUUUCGGGGGGGGGAAAGGGAGAAAAUUUAUUACCUUGCCUAAUUGACGUCACCCGCAAAAGAAGCCCCGGCUAACUCCGGG
This 490-nucleotide ribosomal RNA is filed under the name uncultured bacterium. Its description in RNAcentral is "partial 16S ribosomal RNA". It matches the Rfam family "Bacterial small subunit ribosomal RNA", at positions 30 to 507 of the family's 1533-position model. The record is from RNAcentral.